CCCAAUCAGAGGCCACUGGGGCCUGCCUCUGCCCCCUUCUUCCCAAGCAGCUGCGUAUCACAGAAAGAACAUGGACUCGUGGAGUCCGCUAGCAUCCUUGGUUCAUUUGGGCCGUAAGCCUCAGGAAGGCCCUCCAGAAAACUGGGGACAGGACCAGAGCCGGCUUACCUGGUGCCACCGGCCAUCGUCCAGCCGGGGACCAGCGCUCACAGUCACCUGCGCCAGCUGAUUGUGCAGCUGGAUCUCGGACCUGCCGUCUCGAAGUGCCAGCACAAACCAGUCGUCCUCUGGGUUGGUGUCGCCGUA
Molecule: long non-coding RNA, 306 nt
Organism: Mustela erminea (ermine)
Lineage: Eukaryota; Metazoa; Chordata; Mammalia; Carnivora; Mustelidae
Exons: 2
Source: RefSeq, a predicted model, not a curated record